GGUCGCGAUCAUACCAGCACUAAUGCACCGGAUCCCAUCAGAACUCCGGAGUUAAGCGUGCUUGGGCGAGAGUAGUACUAGGAUGGGUGACCCCCUGGGAAGUCCUCGUGUUGCAACCC
RNAcentral lists this ribosomal RNA (119 nucleotides) under Helianthus annuus (common sunflower). Lineage: Eukaryota; Viridiplantae; Streptophyta; Magnoliopsida; Asterales; Asteraceae. The record is from RNAcentral.